GUCAAAAUGUUCUUGAUAUUCAGACUAAGUUUUCAUUUUAUCAAAUUUCAGACAUUAUUCAGAAGUUGGAACAACAGAAGAAAGUAAAGGAUAAGAAUCCAGUGUCCCCUAGCCUAUUUGUAAAAAGGGACAUGGUCCCUCAAACUACAAAAGUGGAAUCCCGUCUGCUCAGGUUUCUGGAACUUAUCUGAUAGUUGCUGACUUGGAGCACUUGUUGGCUGCUCCUGGAUUCAUAGGGACUAUUCUGAUUCAAGAUACCCCAAACCUCUUUGGCAAGGAUUGCAGAAAUAAUUCAGAAAAUGAACUGCAAGUAUUAUUUUUUGGGGGGUAGAUAAUAGCAAAUAAAUAAAUAAUAUAAAU
RNAcentral lists this long non-coding RNA (360 nucleotides) under Monodelphis domestica (gray short-tailed opossum). RNAcentral describes it as "lncRNA (ENSMODG00000034252.2)". Lineage: Eukaryota; Metazoa; Chordata; Mammalia; Didelphimorphia; Didelphidae. The record is from RNAcentral.